Molecule: transfer RNA, 67 nt
Filed under: Salmonella enterica subsp. enterica serovar Typhimurium
Lineage: Bacteria; Pseudomonadati; Pseudomonadota; Gammaproteobacteria; Enterobacterales; Enterobacteriaceae
Description: tRNA-OTHER
Rfam family: tRNA
About the family: Transfer RNA (tRNA) molecules are approximately 80 nucleotides in length.
Source: RNAcentral
AUAGCUCAGUCGGUAGAGCACUUGGCUUGCAAAACAAGGGGCCGGGGUUCGAAUACCCGUCCGUCCA